This 356-nucleotide RNase P RNA is filed under the name Acidimicrobiia bacterium. RNAcentral's name for it is "RNase P RNA component class A". It matches the Rfam family "Bacterial RNase P class A". Rfam says of the family: Ribonuclease P (RNase P) is a ubiquitous endoribonuclease, found in archaea, bacteria and eukarya as well as chloroplasts and mitochondria. Its best characterised activity is the generation of mature 5'-ends of tRNAs by cleaving the 5'-leader elements of precursor-tRNAs. The record is from RNAcentral. Lineage: Bacteria; Bacillati; Actinomycetota; Acidimicrobiia.
UGAGUUGGGGAGACGGUCGCGGCUGGCAACAGCUGAGGAAAGUCCGGACUCCACAGGGCAUGACGCUGGGUAACACCCAGGCGGGGCGACCCGAUGGAAAGUGCAGCAGAAAGCAAACCGCCUGCUCUUGGGCUCUUGAGUCCGGAAGCCGGUAAGGGUGAAACGGUGGGGUAAGAGCCCACCAGCACAGCGGGUGACCGUUGUGGCUCGGUAAACCCCGUCAGGAGCAAGACCACGCAGGAACAGGGCUGCCCGUCCGCUACGUUCCGGGUAGGUCGCACGAGGCCGUGCGGUAACGCCGGUCCCAGAUAGAUGACCGUCCUCGACAGAAUCCGGCUUACACCCCAACUCACCUU